GACGAACGCUGGCGGCGUGCUUAACACAUGCAAGUCGAACGGAAAGGCCCCUUUGGGGGUACUCGAGUGGCGAACGGGUGAGUAACACGUGAGUAACCUGCCCUUGACUUCGGGAUAACUUCAGGAAACUGGGGCUAAUACCGGAUAGGAAUCCUUGCUGCAUGGUGGGGGUUGGAAAGCUUCGGCGGUUUUGGAUGGACUCGCGGCUUAUCAGCUUGUUGGUGGGGUAGUGGCUUACCAAGGCUUUGACGGGUAGCCGGCCUGAGAGGGCGACCGGCCACAUUGGGACUGAGAUACGGCCCAGACUCCUACGGGAGGCAGCAGUGGGGAAUAUUGCACAAUGGGCGGAAGCCUGAUGCAGCAACGCCGCGUGCGGGAUGACGGCCUUCGGGUUGUAAACCGCUUUCAGCAGGGGCGAAGCUUGUGGUGACGGUACCUGCAGAAGAGGCACCGGCUAACUACG
RNAcentral lists this ribosomal RNA (463 nucleotides) under uncultured bacterium. Its description in RNAcentral is "partial 16S ribosomal RNA". It matches the Rfam family "Bacterial small subunit ribosomal RNA", at positions 28 to 505 of the family's 1533-position model. The record is from RNAcentral.